Molecule: non-coding RNA, 73 nt
Organism: Podarcis lilfordi (Lilford's wall lizard)
Lineage: Eukaryota; Metazoa; Chordata; Lepidosauria; Squamata; Lacertidae
Source: the annotation of a GenBank genome assembly
ACACUGGUAGCUCGGUUGGUAGAGCACGAGACUCCUAAUCUCUAGGUCAUGGGUUUGAUCCCCACAUUGUGCA